Non-coding RNA from Pelobates cultripes (western spadefoot toad), 348 nucleotides. The record is from the annotation of a GenBank genome assembly. Lineage: Eukaryota; Metazoa; Chordata; Amphibia; Anura; Pelobatidae.
CUGCACAGUAUAGUACUGACUGUAUUACUAUCUGGGGAAAGAGAAGUGGGCAACUGGCUGCUGUUGGCUCCCAGGUAACUAUUCAUGAUGGGACAUUGUAUAUACUGUGUAUCUCAGUAUACAUAGUGAUAAAGACAUAUGGGAAUGAUUUCAGUAUUUAGUUUGUAGGGAGCAAUACAAGAGCAGAAUAUUUGAGGUUGCUGUCAUCUCCAAUCUUUACACACACAGUUAUCCACUUGUAUUGAGAGGGUUUAGACUGUCCUAAUUUAGAAACAUAGAAUGUGACGGCAGAUAAGAACCAUUCGGCCCAUCUAGUCUGCCUAAUUUUCUAAAUACUUUCAUUAGUCC